RNAcentral lists this ribosomal RNA (402 nucleotides) under uncultured Eubacteriales bacterium. Its description in RNAcentral is "uncultured Clostridiales bacterium partial 16S ribosomal RNA". It matches the Rfam family "Bacterial small subunit ribosomal RNA", at positions 355 to 774 of the family's 1533-position model. The record is from RNAcentral. Lineage: Bacteria; Bacillati; Bacillota; Clostridia; Eubacteriales.
UGGGGGAUAUUGGUCAAUGGGGGAAACCCUGAACCAGCAACGCCGCGUGAAGGAAGAAGGUCUUCGGAUUGUAAACUUUUGUCUUUGGGGAAGAUAAUGACGGUACCCAAGGAGGAAGCUCCGGCUAACUACGUGCCAGCAGCCGCGGUAAUACGUAGGGAGCGAGCGUUGUCCGGAAUUACUGGGUGUAAAGGGUGCGUAGGCGGGAAAACAAGUCAUAUGUGAAAUGCUGCGGCUUAACUGCAGAGCUGCAUAAGAAACUGUUUUUCUUGAGUGGAGGAGAGGUAAGCGGAAUUCCUAGUGUAGCGGUAAAAUGCGUAGAUAUUAGGAGGAACACCAGUGGCGAAGGCGGCUUACUGGACUUUAACUGACGCUGAGGCACGAAAGCGUGGGGAGCAAACA